RNAcentral lists this ribosomal RNA (497 nucleotides) under uncultured bacterium. RNAcentral describes it as "partial 16S ribosomal RNA". It matches the Rfam family "Bacterial small subunit ribosomal RNA", at positions 28 to 507 of the family's 1533-position model. The record is from RNAcentral.
GAUGAACGCUGGCGGCGUGCCUAAUACAUGCAAGUCGAGCGAACAGACGAGGAGCUUGCUCCUCUGACGUUAGCGGCGGACGGGUGAGUAACACGUGGAUAACCUACCUAUAAGACUGGGAUAACUUCGGGAAACCGGAGCUAAUACCGGAUAAUAUAUUGAACCGCAUGGUGCAAUAGUGAAAGACGGUUUUGCUGUCACUUAUAGAUGGAUCCGCGCCGCAUUAGCUAGUUGGUAAGGUAACGGCUUACCAAGGCAACGAUGCGUAGCCGACCUGAGAGGGUGAUCGGCCACACGGGAACUGAGACACGGUCCAGACUCCUACGGGAGGCAGCAGUAGGGAAUCUUCCGCAAUGGGCGAAAGCCUGACGGAGCAACGCCGCGUGAGUGAUGAAGGUCUUCGGAUCGUAAAACUCUGUUAUUAGGGAAGAACAAAUGUGUAAGUAACUAUGCACGUCUUGACGGUACCUAAUCAGAAAGCCACGGCUAACUACGUG